CCUACGGGGUGCUGCAGUGAGGAAUAUUGGUCAAUGGACGAGAGUCUGAACCAGCCAAGUAGCGUGAAGGAUGACUGCCCUAUGGGUUGUAAACUUCUUUUAUAUGGGAAUAAAAUGUUCCACGUGUGGGAUUUUGUAUGUACCAUAUGAAUAAGGAUCGGCUAACUCCGUGCCAGCAGCCGCGGUAAUACGGAGGAUCCGAGCGUUAUCCGGAUUUAUUGGGUUUAAAGGGAGCGUAGGUGGAUUGUUAAGGCAGUUGUGAAAGUUUGCGGCUCAACCGUAAAAUUGCAGUUGAAACUGGCAGUCUUGAGUACAGUAGAGGUGGGCGGAAUUCGUGGUGUAGCGGUGAAAUGCUUAGAUAUCACGAAGAACUCCGAUUGCGAAGGCAGUUCACUGGACUGCAACUGACACUGAGGCUCGAAAGUGUGGGUAUCAAACAGGAUUAGAUACCCCUGUAGUC
RNAcentral lists this ribosomal RNA (460 nucleotides) under uncultured bacterium. RNAcentral describes it as "partial 16S ribosomal RNA". It matches the Rfam family "Bacterial small subunit ribosomal RNA", at positions 338 to 795 of the family's 1533-position model. The record is from RNAcentral.